RNAcentral lists this small RNA (203 nucleotides) under Fictibacillus macauensis ZFHKF-1. RNAcentral's name for it is "Bacillus sRNA ncr1575". It matches the Rfam family "Bacillus sRNA ncr1575". Lineage: Bacteria; Bacillati; Bacillota; Bacilli; Caryophanales; Fictibacillaceae. The record is from Rfam by way of RNAcentral.
ACAACAACAACAGAAGGGAUGAUGGGUGGCCGAUGAAGUACUAAUCUUAUUUCUAACAUUUGAAAUCAAUACAUUUCAAAUUGUGACAAAUUGGAUUAGUCUGCCCAAAAUCAUCUCUUAACGUUGCCUACGCUACGUUUAUUUCACUAUGAUUAUUGAUUAGGCAGUGCUAAUCCUCCCCUAGAACCCGGGAGGAUUUUUUU